Molecule: ribosomal RNA, 796 nt
Filed under: Helix borealis
Lineage: Eukaryota; Metazoa; Mollusca; Gastropoda; Stylommatophora; Helicidae
Description: partial 16S ribosomal RNA
Source: RNAcentral
AUUAACAAAAUAAAAUGGAUAAACUAUCACGAAAGGGAGUGAGCUAAACAGAUAUGUUAUUAACAAUACGUAGUAUAGUAUUUUUAUAAUAUGUGUUUAGGGGUGAUAGGCUUUUCAAACUUUCUUAUAACUUGAUUCAUAUGAAAAGUAUUUAGUACAAAAACAUGCUUAAAAAGUUAAGCUUUUAAGCAAUUAUUAAAAAUAUUUUUUCUAUCUAAUGUAGUAUAAUAACUAGUUAUUUAAAAAAUUAAUAUUCUUUAUAUAUUUUUAUAAUAAAUAAUAUGAUGGCUUAAGUUGUUUUAAGGCUUAAUAAUGUUAAUAUUAGUAUUAUAGUUUAAGUGUAUUAAAGGAACUCGGCAAAUUAACCGCUCAACUGUUUAUCAAAAACAUAGCUAUAUGAAUUAAUAUAUAGUUAUUUCUGCUCCAUGAUUAUUAAAUAGCCGCAGUACCCUGACUGUGCAAAGGUAGCAUAAUCAGUUGGCUUUUAAUUAGAGUCUGGUAUGAAUGAAAAUAUGGGUGGUAGCUGUCUUUAGUAUAUUAGUUUGAAAUUAUUAAGCAAGUGCAAAUUCUUGCAAGUUUCAAAAAGACGAGAAGACCCUAGAAACUUAUGAUAGUUUUUGUUGGGGCGACAGAAUUACAUUUAACUAAUUUUAAAUACAUGACAUUUAAUUGAAAGAACAAGUUACUCUAGGGAUAACAGCAUAAUUUUAACAGUUUGUGACCUCGAUGUUGGACUAGGUAUUAUAUCCUUAAGACAAGGAUAUAGAAUGCUCUGUUCGAGCAAUUUUACCUACAU